GAUCCUGGCUCGGGAUGAACGCUAGCGACAGGCUUAACACAUGCAAGUCGAGGGGCAGCAUGAUAAGUAGCAAUACUUAUUGAUGGCGACCGGCGCACGGGUGAGUAACGCGUAUGCAACUUACCUAUCAGAGGGGGAUAGCCCGGCGAAAGUCGGAUUAAUACUCCAUAAAACAGGGGUUCCGCAUGGGACUAUUUGUUAAAGAUUCAUCGCUGAUAGAUAGGCAUGCGUUCCA
RNAcentral lists this ribosomal RNA (235 nucleotides) under uncultured bacterium. Its description in RNAcentral is "partial 16S ribosomal RNA". It matches the Rfam family "Bacterial small subunit ribosomal RNA", at positions 15 to 240 of the family's 1533-position model. The record is from RNAcentral.